Molecule: ribosomal RNA, 463 nt
Filed under: uncultured bacterium
Lineage: Bacteria
Description: bacterial SSU rRNA
Rfam family: Bacterial small subunit ribosomal RNA
Source: RNAcentral
ACAUGCAAGUCGAACGGUACAGGUCUAGCUUGCUAGAUGCUGACGAGUGGCGGACGGGUGAGUAACGCGUGGGAAUCUGCCUUCUAGUGGGGGAUAGCCCGGAGAAAUCCGGAUUAAUACCGCAUACGCCCUACGGGGGAAANCCGGGGAUCUUCGGACCUGGCGCUAGUAGAUGAGCCCGCGUGAGAUUAGCUUGUUGGUGGGGUAAUGGCCUACCAAGGCAACGAUCUCUAGCUGGUCUGAGAGGACGAUCAGCCACACUGGGACUGAGACACGGCCCAGACUCCUACGGGAGGCAGCAGUGGGGAAUAUUGGACAAUGGGCGAAAGCCUGAUCCAGCAAUGCCGCGUGUGUGAAGAAGGCCUGAGGGUUGUAAAGCACUUUCAAUCGUGAAGAAAAGUUGCAGGCUAAUACCCUGUGACCUUGACGUUAAACGAUACAAGAAGCACCGGCUAACUCCGUG